GGGGAAUCUUCCGCAAUGGACGAAAGUCUGACGGAGCAACGCCGCGUGAGUGAAGAAGGUCUUCGGAUUGUAAAGCUCUGUCGUUUGGGACGAACGUGGAUUGUGUGAAUAAUGCAAUCUAAUGACGGUACCAAAGGAGGAAGCCACGGCUAACUCCGUGCCAGCAGCCGCGGUAAUACGGAGGGUGCAAGCGUUAAUCGGAAUUACUGGGCGUAAAGCGCACGUAGGCUGCUUUGUAAGUCAGGGGUGAAAUCCCACGGCUCAACCGUGGAACUGCCUUUGAUACUGCUUAGCUUGAAUCCGGGAGAGGGUGGCGGAAUUCCAGGUGUAGGAGUGAAAUCCGUAGAUAUCUGGAGGAACAUCAGUGGCGAAGGCGGCCACCUGGACCGGUAUUGACGCUGAGGUGCGAAAGCGUGGGGAGCAAACA
This 427-nucleotide ribosomal RNA is filed under the name uncultured bacterium. RNAcentral describes it as "bacterial SSU rRNA". It matches the Rfam family "Bacterial small subunit ribosomal RNA", at positions 356 to 774 of the family's 1533-position model. The record is from RNAcentral.